This is a long non-coding RNA of Cygnus olor (mute swan), 1734 nucleotides long. RefSeq lists it as uncharacterized. NCBI's taxonomy places the organism in Eukaryota, Metazoa, Chordata, Aves, Anseriformes, Anatidae. The transcript is spliced from 5 exons. The record is from RefSeq and is a predicted model, not a curated record.
CCCUCUGAGCCCCAGGAGCACUUCUGUGCUGUGCGGCCCUCACAGAAUGUGAGUUACGCGAGGCCCAACCAGCCUUGCCAGCUCCAGGUGUUAACCGUGGUUCUCAGAUGAGGUGUGCAGCCCUGGGAUCCCUGUGUUAAAGGGAAAGUGGUAGAGCUGGGUGAGAAACACCUUCGGCCUGCAACAAAACACACCUAAGGUCUGUGUGGCCUCCAUAGUGUUUCUUGCCACUGAGUUUAAAGGCAAUCUAAGGGGAAGGAACACCAAAAUCCUCAGCUCAGAACGGAGCUUCAAUGGAGUUAACACCAAAGGCAGAAGGAAAGCUGGAGCAAACCGAAGGAGUUAGACAAUAAACCCAGGUCCAGACAAAGUAAGAGGGGGGAAGCUAAAAUACAGAAUGAGGACAACAGGACACAAGGAGUGGGCAGGAAGAAGGCAGUUAGUGGCUGCACGCACAAAAUUCCAGGAGAAAUUUGAGGAAGCCGAACAGAAAACAAGGGCCUGAGAACAAGAGCCAUGGCCACACGGCCUCUCAAUCUCUCCCACAGCUUUUGAACCUCUGAAGCCACUUUCAGACCAGUUGUGUUUGGGGGGGGAGGGAGUGGGGGGAGAUUGGCAAAUGGAUCACAGAGAGUAAAACCAAGGCUGAUGGUUUUCUGUUAGCAGUAUGCCGCAAUGCUGCUUCUUGAGGUUAUUUAUGGGGAAAGCUGGGGAGAGUACAGCCACGGGCAAACGACAUAUAUCACAGAAAGACUGCCAUCAUUAUUUCUACUGCUCCUGGAACAACCCAUUUGUAAUUGCUAUACCAGAGUAAUUUGGCCAAGGAGUUCUAGGCUAUGUCAAUUAAGAAGAGUUGCAGAUCUCAGCACUUUUAAUCAAUUAACAUCACUUAGUAAGGCAGAAUCAGUCCAUCAUCUUCAGAAUAGCACCGCUGCUCUUAACAUAUUGUUUAAAACUAUUGGACCAGGGAGUGCAGCACACGUUCAUUGCUUGGUAUCAGUUACUGUCUACUACGGCCAACUUCCUAUGUGGAUAAAGCGUCUGCCCAUCACAUUUCUGUGAAGAGUACCUUCCUUUUUGUUUUAAAAGCCUUGAAAGAUGGAGUUGACUGGCUUACACAUGCCUGGAAAAUCAGUUACAAGGCGAGUCAUAAUUAAUGCCAAAGAACGUACUGCAUAAAUUAAGAGCCACAUUCUCACAAAGGCUAAGGAAUUUAAUAUGCAUCAAAGAUUUUAUUUGAAUUAACUGGAUUCAAAUAUUAAAAUAAGUACAUUAAAUUACAACAUUAAAUAUGCUUUAAAUACAAUAAACUAGAUGUUUUUAGUUUCUAAACACAAAGGGAACAAAAAUAAUUCAGAAGAAUGCAAUACAAUUAAUGACACCAGAUGACAGAACAAGGACUUUAUGUAAAUCUGCAAGAUGUCAACUCUCUGCAAUGUUUACUUUAAGAAGACAUGGUGGCAUUUCAACUGAUGCACAAAACCCAUGUUACAUAAAUUUAGUAAGGUAUCUCUCAGAAAAUAUUGCUGUUAUAAUUCUCAUUUUCGCCACGAUCAAAACUCCUUUGGUAGCUCUUUUUCAGAAUGAAACACGCCAGUAUGCAAAUCCCGAAAAUAAACAGCAUCUUCAGUGCAUGCAGCUGGUUGAAUAAUAUACAUCAACCUGAAAUCUGCUAAAAAAUAAAGUCUGGAACAGCAUAGGUAUUCGGUGUCCUGAAGAUAUAUUUGGAUUUUU